This is a long non-coding RNA of Cydia splendana, 601 nucleotides long. RefSeq lists it as uncharacterized. Lineage: Eukaryota; Metazoa; Arthropoda; Insecta; Lepidoptera; Tortricidae. The record is from RefSeq and is a predicted model, not a curated record. The transcript has 3 exons.
UUUUUGAAAAUCCACGAAUUUGGCGAAAUUGUAGAAAGGCAAUGUUUUAAAAUCCUAAUUUACCACUCUCAACUAUCAACCCGUGCAAAUUUAUUGUAAACCAUGGCCAUAAACUUAAGGAUCAGUCUUAUCUCGUUAGGAAUUCUGCUGUUAAUGUUUUAUGUUUCAGGAUCUGAAUGUAAACCAAUUAAGGACACAUUUGACUCAUUUACAAGUUUAAGUGAUACAGUGCCACAAGGAUACACUCAAUAUUUUCGUAAAGCCCUGAUGGACGCUAGCCACGUUUUAGACAACUUGCUACAGAAGGGCAAAAUGAGUCUAAUGGACCUACCUUUUGAUAAUUUUGAAGGCUGGGUCAACUCGUAACAUAGUUUACUGUAAUUGAACCAAAUGUAGUUAUAAGCUUAUAAGGCGUCUUCAGUUCUUAUUGUGCCAAUAUUUCAGAUAUAAAAUAGUAAUAAGAGUGACAGCAUGUGUUGGUAAGAACUAAAGACACUAAUUGUUGGGCAUAAGCUUGGACUGAGCUACUUUUGGUUUGUGGUAUAGCCGUUAUAGGGCCAUAUUAUAUUUGAAUAAAUGCAUGGUUUUUGGGCCCUAAUCA